Molecule: ribosomal RNA, 447 nt
Filed under: uncultured bacterium
Lineage: Bacteria
Description: bacterial SSU rRNA
Rfam family: Bacterial small subunit ribosomal RNA
Source: RNAcentral
GUCCAGACUCCUACGGGAGGCAGCAGUGGGGAAUAUUGCACAAUGGGGGAAACCCUGAUGCAGCGACGCCGCGUGAGCGAUGAAGUAUUUCGGUAUGUAAAGCUCUAUCAGCAGGGAAGAAGAUGACGGUACCUGACUAAGAAGCCCCGGCUAACUACGUGCCAGCAGCCGCGGUAAUACGUAGGGGGCAAGCGUUAUCCGGAUUUACUGGGUGUAAAGGGAGCGUAGACGGCGGCGCAAGCCAGAUGUGAAAGCCCGGGGCUCAACUCCGGGACUGCAUUUGGAACUGUGUGGCUGGAGUGUCGGAGAGGCAGGCGGAAUUCCUAGUGUAGCGGUGAAAUGCGUAGAUAUUAGGAGGAACACCAGUGGCGAAGGCGGCCUGCUGGACGAUGACUGACGUUGAGGCCCGAAAGCGUGGGGAGCAAACAGGAUUAGAUACCCUGGUAU